This 70-nucleotide transfer RNA is filed under the name Rhizomys pruinosus (hoary bamboo rat). RNAcentral's name for it is "tRNA-Leu". Lineage: Eukaryota; Metazoa; Chordata; Mammalia; Rodentia; Spalacidae. The record is from RNAcentral.
ACUUUCUUAGGAUAAGAGAAAUCCGUUGGUCUUAGGAACCAAAAAAUUGGUGCAACUCCAAAUGAAAGUA